CGGAAGGAAAGGGAUGGAGGGGGAACCUGUGGAUUAAAAGGCACUGAAAAGACAUUUUCUUCUGGAAUCGAAGACAACUACAGUGCCUGGAGAUUCCUAGUUGGGCGACACACUGGACGGAAACGCAGGACACUGAUUACUCCAGAAGCCACAGUGGUGGUAGCUUUGCAGGGGUGACUGGAAUACGGCUGGGGAGGGGCUUCUGGGGUAGCUGGCGGCGCGCUGUCCGGGUGGGGGUGAUAAUGAUGCUCGCCUCCGAGCUGGGUUUCUCAGACUCAGCACUGCUGACGUUCACAUCAGAUAACCCUUGGUCGUGGGGGCUGCCCUGUGCGCUCUGGGAUGUUUUUCAGCGUCUCUGACCUCCACCCACUGGAUGCCAAGAACCGCCCUCCCCCACUCCAUGAUGACAACCCCACAUGUCUCCAGAUGCUGCCAGAAGUCCCCCCAGGGGCAAAUUCACCCCGAUUGAGAGCAGCCCUUCAGUAACUCCUUAAGCUUCCCUUUUGUUUUAUGUGGGUUCUUGGAUCUGGCUCUCUGUGUGUCUGUGUGUGUGUGCAUUUUAUUUUGCCAUAAAAAUAUUUUUAAAACGCCAAGGGAGUGUUCAUGGGGGAAACUCUCCAGAAUUCUGCAGUUUAUCUGGAAGAAAACAAGACAACGGGAAUAGCCCAGGAAUUUUGUAAAAAGCGGAGUCUCAGAUAUUAAAGUCGAUUCUAAAGCUACAGUCAUGAAAACAGGUACUGAGAUGAACACAGACAGGUGAGUCUCCAGAAUACAAUAGCCCGCCUCUGGGUGGGUCCCGUUUUAGCAGAGAAGAUCUGAGCUGCUUCUGUUGUCCUUCUGCCUUUCCUUCCAGCCCCCUCCCACCACCACACUGACCUCACCCCAGCUCCCCAAGAUGGAGCUUCCCACUUCUCCUCCUUUGCACGUGCGGUUUCUCCUGUCUGGAGCACCUUUCCCUAAAUGUCACCCUGCAGGCACCCUUCCCAGCCCCUCCUGCUCAGAGAUGUCCCCUUCCUUCCUCCUCCUGUAGACACCAGCUCCCACCCCUGUCACCCCCUUACUGUGAACCUUAGCUUGAAAGUCUGUCUCCUCCUCUCAGCUUUGCAGACCAGGAUGGUAGGAACUGUGUCCCCUUGGGGACCUGCACGGUGCCUGGCAUACAGCAGGUAGUGAAAGUAGCUGUUAGGUUCACAAAACAGAGGGACGGGAAAAACAGUGACGGGAGAGGGGCCAUGUUAGGCCUUUAGCAGGGCGGGAACACACAGUUUGAGCCCCUAAAGGUAGGAGAAGGUGGCCGCGCAUCCACGUGCAGGAAAAAGAGGUUCGGCAAGGUGGAACAGCAUGUGCAAAGACCCGGCAGUGGGAAAGAUCCAGGGUCCCGGUACCUUCCCCAGACACUGGGACAUGAGCAUCAGUCCUUCCAGCUUCCGGGAAACUCGAGGGAUCUUCCAGAUACACAAAUCCCACCGGGUCACUGUCCUCUUCAGUCUUCCCAUGGCUCUCUGGUGCCCUGGGAAUCAAAUCCAAGCUCCUUAGCCG
This 1539-nucleotide long non-coding RNA is filed under the name Equus caballus (horse). RNAcentral describes it as "lncRNA (ENSECAG00000060033.1)". Lineage: Eukaryota; Metazoa; Chordata; Mammalia; Perissodactyla; Equidae. The record is from RNAcentral.